UACGUAGGGUCCGAGCGUUGUCCGGAAUUAUUGGGCGUAAAGAGCUCGUAGGCGGCCUGUUGCGUCCGCUGUGAAAGCCCGGGGCUUAACCCCGGGUCUGCAGUGGAUACGGGCAGGCUAGAGGUAGGUAGGGGAGAAUGGAAUUCCCGGUGUAGCGGUGAAAUGCGCAGAUAUCGGGAGGAACACCGGUGGCGAAGGCGGUUCUCUGGGCCUUACCUGACGCUGAGGAGCGAAAGCGUGGGGAGCGAACAGA
Molecule: ribosomal RNA, 253 nt
Filed under: uncultured bacterium
Lineage: Bacteria
Description: partial 16S ribosomal RNA
Rfam family: Bacterial small subunit ribosomal RNA
Source: RNAcentral